CUAGUAAAUACAAGAAAGAUAAGAGAGAAGAAAGAUACUAGAUAUGCCAAAAAGAAAUCUCAAAAUGUUAGGUGUCAUGAAUGUCAGGGAUUUGAACACAUUAGAGCUAAGUGUCUUAAGUUAUAAGAAGACUUAGGAAAGGCAAUGAAUGUCACUCACAAUGAGUCUAGUUUUGAGAAUCAAAGUGAGACUUCAAUAUUCAUGGAUAGUUGGCACUACAUGGCUCUUACUUCCAUUGUGGAAUGUGAAAGUGAGAAGAGUGAUGGUAAGAUCGAGAAUUUAGAGCAAACUGAAUCGUCAUAGGGAGAGUCUAACAGUGAAAAAGAUCUCAGAUAAAUAGAUCACCAAAAAAAGGAAAGAAACCUCAUUUUUUCAUGAGAUGGAUAAAAUAACUGAUGUAAGGUAAGAUUUAAACCUUUAUUGUUUUCAUCUAAUUGCGAAAAUCAAAAUAGAAAAAUAGAGGGGUUUUAUUUUAUGCAUUACUUUCACUGGUUCUUCCACCCUCUCCUGUUUCACCUAUCCCUUCACUCCCCAAGAGGUUUAUGAUAAGUUAUUUGAGGAGAGUCUUAAUUUGAAGAAGUUAAAUAGGCCUGCCUUUAAAAAGCGGCCUGUUAUUAAGUCAGAGAAGGAAAUCUUUUAGCUGAACUUGAAUGUUGAGGAGUCUUAGAAAAUAAAGUCAAGACACUAGAGUAAACUUGAUAAAUCCAAUGCACAGCUUCGUACUUUCUAUGGUGGGUCUAAGAAGCUUGACAACAUUUUAAGACUGAACAUGUCUGCAAUAAAUAAUGGAGGUUUGGUUUAUAAUGGAAUCAAUUUUCAUGAUACUACCUCUUCUAAAAC
This 840-nucleotide long non-coding RNA is filed under the name Olea europaea subsp. europaea. The record is from RNAcentral. Lineage: Eukaryota; Viridiplantae; Streptophyta; Magnoliopsida; Lamiales; Oleaceae.